This 231-nucleotide ribosomal RNA is filed under the name uncultured bacterium. RNAcentral's name for it is "partial 16S ribosomal RNA". It matches the Rfam family "Bacterial small subunit ribosomal RNA", at positions 103 to 334 of the family's 1533-position model. The record is from RNAcentral.
CGGGUGAGUAACGCGUGGGUAACCUGCCCUAUACACACGGAUAACAUACCGAAAGGUAUGCUAAUACGAGAUGAUAUAAGAAAUUCGCAUGUUUUUCUUAUCAAAGCUUUUGCGGUAUAGGAUGGACCCGCGUCUGAUUAGCUAGUUGGUAAGGUAAUGGCUUACCAAGGCGACGAUCAGUAGCCGACCUGAGAGGGUGAUCGGCCACAUUGGAACUGAGACACGGUCCAA